CUACGGGGUGCUGCAGUGGGGAAUAUUGGACAAUGGGGGAAACCCUGAUCCAGCAAUGCCGCGUGUGUGAAGAAGGCCUGCGGGUUGUAAAGCACUUUCGGUUGGGAGGACUGCUUCUAGCACUAAUAUUGUUGGAAGUUGACGUUACCUUCAGAAGAAGCACCGGCUAACUCCGUGCCAGCAGCCGCGGUAAUACGGGGGGUGCAAGCGUUAAUCGGAAUUACUGGGCGUAAAGCGCGCGUAGGCGGCUAGAUCAGUCGGGUGUGAAAGCCCCGGGCUUAACCGGGGAACUGCAUCCGAUACUGUCUAGCUUGAGUACAGGAGAGGAGAGUGGAAUUCCACAUGUAGCGGUGAAAUGCGUAGAUAUGUGGAGGAACACCAAUGGCGAAGGCAGCUCUCUGGCCUGAUACUGACGCUGAGGUGCGAAAGCGUGGGGAGCAAACAGGAUUAGAUACCCCUGUAGUC
This 465-nucleotide ribosomal RNA is filed under the name uncultured bacterium. RNAcentral's name for it is "partial 16S ribosomal RNA". It matches the Rfam family "Bacterial small subunit ribosomal RNA", at positions 339 to 795 of the family's 1533-position model. The record is from RNAcentral.